Melissococcus plutonius ATCC 35311 is the source of this 177-nucleotide small RNA. It matches the Rfam family "Listeria sRNA rli28". Lineage: Bacteria; Bacillati; Bacillota; Bacilli; Lactobacillales; Enterococcaceae. The record is from Rfam.
AUAUAUAUCGUAUAAUAUACCUAUAGAAAAGUUAUGCCGGUGGUUAUCCAAAAAGGUGAUGGUGCCUAUGAAAAUAGGUACUGAAAUCGAUGAAAGGAGAAGCCUGUUAUCCGCAUUUGAAACAAUCCAGACAAUCUUAGGAUUUGGUAUGUUUAUCAUCGCUUUGGUUGGCCUAGU